Non-coding RNA from Aspergillus carlsbadensis, 108 nucleotides. NCBI's taxonomy places the organism in Eukaryota, Fungi, Ascomycota, Eurotiomycetes, Eurotiales, Aspergillaceae. The record is from the annotation of a GenBank genome assembly.
GGGGCUGUGGUUUAGUGGUAUAAUGUUCGCUUUGCAGGGCACCUAUUGUAGGUCAACUACGCAGGUCAUGUGUGCGAAAGGCCGGGGGUUCGAUUCCCUCCAGCUCCA